RNAcentral lists this ribosomal RNA (847 nucleotides) under Salmonella enterica. RNAcentral's name for it is "bacterial SSU rRNA". It matches the Rfam family "Bacterial small subunit ribosomal RNA", at positions 43 to 873 of the family's 1533-position model. Lineage: Bacteria; Pseudomonadati; Pseudomonadota; Gammaproteobacteria; Enterobacterales; Enterobacteriaceae. The record is from RNAcentral.
CUCGAGCUACCAUGCACUCAACGGUAACAGGAAGCACUUGCUGCUUUGCUGACGAGUGGCGGACGGGUGAGUAGUGUCUGGGAAACUGCCUGAUGGAGGGGGAUAACUACUGGAAACGGUGGCUAAUACCGCAUAACGUCGCAAGACCAAAGAGGGGGACCUUCGGGCCUCUUGCCAUCAUAUGUGCCCAUAUGGGAUUAUCUUGUUGGUGAGGUAACGGCUCACCUGGGCGACGAUCCCUAUCUGGUCUGAGAGGAUGACCACCCACACUGGAACUGAGACACGGUCCACACUCCUACGGGAGGCAGCAGUGGGGAAUAUUGCACAGUGGGCGCAAGCCUGAUGCACCCAUGCCGCGUGUAUGAAAAAGGCCUUCGGGUUGUAAAGUACUUUCAGCGGGGAAGAAGGUGUUGUGGUUAAUAACCGCAGCAAUUGACGUUACCCGCAAAAGAAGCACCGGCUAACUCCGUGCCAGCACCCGCGGUAAUACGGAGGGUGCAAGCGUUAAUCGGAAUUACUGGGCGUAAAGCGCACGCACGCGGUCUGUCAAGUCAGAUGUGAUAUCCCCGGUCUCAACCUGAGAACUGCAUUCGAAACUGGCAGGCUUGAGUCUUGUAGAGGGGGGUAGAAUUCCGGGUGUAGCGGUGAUAUGCGUAGAGAUCUGGAGGAAUACCGGUGGCGAGCGCGGCCCCUGCACAAGACUGACGCUCAUGUGCGAAGCGUGGAGAGCAACAGGAUUAGAUCCUCUGAUACUCACGCCGUACACGAUGUCUACGUGAGUUGUGCCGUGACGCGUGCUCAGAGCUAACGCGUAAGUACACCCGCCUGGAGAAGCUACGGGCCCGAC